This 317-nucleotide ribosomal RNA is filed under the name uncultured bacterium. Its description in RNAcentral is "bacterial SSU rRNA". It matches the Rfam family "Bacterial small subunit ribosomal RNA", at positions 32 to 342 of the family's 1533-position model. The record is from RNAcentral.
AAUCAACGCUGGCGGCGUGCCUCAGACAUGCAAGUCGAACGAUUAAAGCUCUCUUCGGAGAGUGUAUAGAGUGGCGCACGGGUGAGUAACACGUAAGUAAUCUACCUUUGAGUGGGGAAUAACGUCCGGAAACGGACGCUAAUACCGCAUAAUGCAGCGGCAUCGCAAGAUGACAGUUGUUAAAGAUUUAUCGCUUGAAGAGGAGCUUGCGGCAGAUAGCUAGUUGGUAAGGUAAUGGCUUACCAAGGCUACGAUCUGUAACCGGUCUAAGAGGACGGUCGGUCACACUGACACUGAAUAACGGGUCAGACUCCUAC